Molecule: RNA transcript, 1374 nt
Organism: Salvia miltiorrhiza (redroot sage)
Lineage: Eukaryota; Viridiplantae; Streptophyta; Magnoliopsida; Lamiales; Lamiaceae
Exons: 2
Source: RefSeq, a predicted model, not a curated record
ACGGUUUUUUUCAAAAACCGUUAUCUAUGAGCGCACUUUUAGUAAUAGAUAACGGUUUUGCAAAAAUCUGUUAUCUAUGUAGUGUUGUCUAUAUGCAUAGAUAACGGUUUCAAUUAAUUCGUUAUGUUUUUGCGUUAUCUAUUAGUUACAUACAUAACGGUAUUACAAACCGUUAAGCCGACCGUUAUCUAUGUGCGUAUUUUUAAACUUUUACAUAACGAUUAUUGAAACCGUUAAGAAAAAGUGUUAUGUAUGCCAUUAUUUCAUUUAAUUUUUUAUUUUAAUAAUUAAUUUAUUAAUUAAAUAAUUUAAAAAUAUUGUAUAAUUGUAUCUCUCAAACACGGUUCUCCUCCCCACAUCUCUCUCUCUUCGCGAUCUCUCCCCCUUUGAGAGAUAGUCGCCGCCGCUGCCGAGGCAAGUUCCGGCGAAUGGUAGCUAUUCGCGCUCUUCCGGCGACAUCGGUCGCUGCGACCUCGCCUCUCCAUUUUCCUCUAACAUAUAGCUAGGGCAAAGGUCGAGCCCUAGUUCUUCUCUGUUCGGUACAACCUAGCCAUCGCCAUCUCAGGGAGACUGGCGAGCUGCGCGACCUAGAGCCCGCCCAUCGUUGCUGGUGCUCCGAGGAUCGCCGUCCUUUUCCUUUUUUUCUCUUCGUCUCGGUUUCCCUCUCUAAUCCCUCACUGGAAGCGCGCAAUUGAAGGGAAGAAGUCGAGCCCUAGCUUCUCUGUCUGAAAUCGUUGGUCGCCGCCCUGGCAUGACGACGCCGCAUCUCCCUAGGUCGGAAAUCGCAACACCGCUAAAGUCCUUCCUCUGCUCACGGAUGGAGCCCUAGUUUCUCUCGAUCGACGCCUUAUACCGAGCUCCUUUCCUUCGUUCUGGGAUUCCGCUCAAAAUCAGAGCUCGCACAUUCGUGAAUGGCUCCGGCGAGGUUGGCUGCUGCUGCCUGUGAAGUUGGCGAGGCCAAUGCUAUUUGGCACCGUCACCGUUGGGGCUGGGUCCAACAGUUGCGGAAGCCCCACCGUCUCUGUAUCUCCCUCUCUCCAUCGCUCUCUCUAACACCGGUAUGAAUAUAUCGAGAAUCACCUAUUGGGUUCACUUCAAUAUACAAUUCACAGUAUAGCUCCUUACCAGUCAAAAGAUAAUGAGAAAGCAGAUGAGCUAACUUUUGGAGGGAGCACUCUAGGACAUAGCAAUAGUGAAAACUGCAUCCAAUCGUUCUUGCUACUCUUUGUAAGUCAAAAUUAUUCAUUCUCAAUGAUAAGGUACUUUGUUGAACUGAAUUUGAGAUUGAGAGUGAAACUAGAGUGAUGUAAUGUUCAAGAGUAUUUUCUGCUGCAGCUUUUUAUCUACCACAAGUAAGUUAAUCUGAAUUCUACA